This 345-nucleotide unclassified non-coding RNA is filed under the name soil metagenome. RNAcentral describes it as "partial contains 5.8S ribosomal RNA, internal transcribed spacer 2, and large subunit ribosomal RNA". The stretch from base 1 to 119 matches the Rfam family "5.8S ribosomal RNA", at positions 35 to 154 of the family's 154-position model. The record is from RNAcentral.
GAUGAAGAACGCAGCGAAAUGCGAUAAGUAAUGUGAAUUGCAAAUUCAGUGAAUCAUCGAGUCUUUGAACGCACAUUGCGCCCCCUGGUAUUCCGGGGGGCAUGCCUGUCCGAGCGUCAUUGCUGCCCUCAAGCACGGCUUGUGUGUUGGGCCCCGUCCUCCGAUCCCGGGGGACGGGCCCGAAAGGCAGCGGCGGCACCGCGUCCGGUCCUCGAGCGUAUGGGGCUUUGUCACCCGCUCUGUAGGCCCGGCCGGCGCUUGCCGAUCAACCCAAAUUUUUAUCCAGGUUGACCUCGGAUCAGGUAGGGAUACCCGCUGAACUUAAGCAUAUCAAUAAGCGGAGGA